GCCGGUGCUGCCGCUGUGGCCGGCGCUGUCGGUGCUGGUGGGGCUGGUGCCGGCGUUCGUGGCGCCGGUGCCGGCGC
RNAcentral lists this transfer RNA (77 nucleotides) under Streptomyces noursei. RNAcentral describes it as "tRNA-Asp". Lineage: Bacteria; Bacillati; Actinomycetota; Actinomycetes; Kitasatosporales; Streptomycetaceae. The record is from RNAcentral.